AACAACAGUAGCAAGUGCACUAGAAGAAAAUAGUGAUAAGAUAAUUGGAAAAGAUCAACAAAAAGAAACGAACAGCAAUAUGCAGUUGUCAAAAGCAAUUGAUCCUAUGGAUAUAGAUAUUGAGACCGCUGAGACAUCCAAGAUUGUUACACCGAGUACAUCUAGCAGCAAGCAUUUAAUAAGUCGUGUAGAAGAAACUCCAUGAAAAAGGAAAAUGAAGGAACGGCAUUUAAAAUUACAAGCAGAAAAUAGAAAGCUGCGC
This is a long non-coding RNA of Cyphomyrmex costatus, 262 nucleotides long. RefSeq lists it as uncharacterized. The transcript is spliced from 3 exons. Lineage: Eukaryota; Metazoa; Arthropoda; Insecta; Hymenoptera; Formicidae. The record is from RefSeq and is a predicted model, not a curated record.